This is a long non-coding RNA of Gorilla gorilla gorilla (western lowland gorilla), 3292 nucleotides long. RefSeq lists it as uncharacterized. The transcript is spliced from 6 exons. The record is from RefSeq and is a predicted model, not a curated record. NCBI's taxonomy places the organism in Eukaryota, Metazoa, Chordata, Mammalia, Primates, Hominidae.
CCUUGAUUUAUGAACAAAUAAUGAGAUUUAGCACUGUCCAAAGUGCCCUAAAUAUUGCUAACAAUAAUUGGCUCUUAAUAAUGGAUAACAUUGCCACUAAAAUAUUUUAAAGGUCAUAUUUAUUAUUUUCUUCUGAAUGACUUGAAGUAGAAUGAACAUGCAGCCAUUUCUUAGGCUACCAUGAGCAAAGCACAAUUUUGCUUAGGGAUAAGAUAUAUUUUGAGUGUUUAUUUUAAAUAUUUACUUGAGAUUUUUCUUAAUCUUUAGAAUUUAGAACGGUGGUUAUACAUCAGUUUUCCUUGAUUCUAGACUGGAAAGGAAUGAAGAUGUCACAGGGGUUCUGCUUUAAGGAAUCAGAAGCUCUGGUGUCAGCAGAAUUGAUGAGCUCUGCCCCUGGGGAACACCAACACAACUUCAUUGAAAGAGUUACAGGGAUUUCAUGUUUCGGAGGAAUUAUAUACAGAGGUUUCUGUUUGAAGUAGGUAGAGUAUGACUGCAUCUUUAAAAUCUUCUAAAGCAAGGGACGCACACCACUGCUGGAAUGCACAAUGGUUUGGAGUGGUGCAAGGGCAGUGAAAACUGAAGACCCACAACUCCCCAAAAUGAUGAGAAAAAGAAGAAAAGCCUGUAAAAAAUGGGAAAUCUUGAAUACCACAGUAUAGCUCAGAUUGUGACCAGGCCCACUAGAAACUGUUUCAGUACCUGAUGAGAGAGACCUUCCUACAGGCUAGAAGAGAGGCAAAUGGGAAUGGUGUAUCUCAGCCUGCUGGCUGAGCAUGCCAAGAAAAUAUAAAAGCUCUUGAAAACGAAGUCAAAGGAGACACCUUGGAGCCUGUGUUUCAUCAGACUGGGACAUUAGGGAAAUCUAAGGAAAAUGGAGAUGAGGGUAUGUCUGCUUCUGUGAAUGAAAAGCAGAAUUCUUCUUUUCUUCCUAAAGAUAAGAAACAGCAUCCAUCUGACAGCAAAAUACAUAGGAAGAAGGGAAAUGAUGAUCCUCCUUUGGCUGUCUCUCAUCAACUGGAGAAAGUCUUACCUAUGAUCAUAUUUAAUGACUAUGGAGAAUCAUUAUCAGAAAACAUUACAUUACAGAAUCUCCUAGGCACAGUAGAAGACUUUAAGCCAGCAAAAGGCAAAUUUAUUACAGAAGUGAAACGUGGGGCUUUCAAUGUGCAAAUAGAAAUCAAGAAAAACUUUGUCUGUAAACCAGGAAUACAGUUCCCAACAAAAAAAGAGACAUCCAAAAUGUUGCCAGCGUUGCUCUAUCAGACACAUUCAGAGAUGCUACCCUUCUAGGAGCUGCUUUCCUAAACGUAAGAAUAUAUUGGUGGAAGAACUAAAACCUGAGGUGCCGUCUAAACAUGAAGGAGAAAUUGCCAGAACCGACAGCCCCUUGCUGAAAGUAACCAUUGAAAGAAAAGAAAUUAAAGUCAACUACAUGACUAAGACACAGAAUAUAUUAAUUAAUGUAACUCAUCCUAAAAGAAAGGAAAAAAGUAACUAAAUACAGAAACAUUUCCUCCAAUCACACCACUAAAGAACCUUUCAGGUCUCCAUCACAGUCUGGUAUUAGGCAUCCUGAAAUGUGGCAGCUUGAAAACAAGCAUCAGAGUUGAGAUUGUUUGUGUGUCUCUUCUUCUGGCAUGUGUGCUGUCCAGAAGGAGAAGAAUUUUGAUACAGUGGUGAUUUAUCUAACCUCGACUCUGGAGAGAAAGAAAAAUAAGCCUGGCACACUAUCUACAGUCUUAGAAGAUUGUGAGGUAGAAUCUGCUAUCUCUCGGCAGAAGGUCUUUAAAAUUAGUCAGAACACCCCCAGAAAGAAACAUUUCUCUGAGUCUAAGACUCUUCUCAAAAAAAUUCUUCCUACUUCACAUAAUACCCAAAAGACCACAAGUUUAAGUAAUGCAGAUUUAAGUAAAAUGCCUUUCGAGGAUUCUAAGGAUGUGGAAAAAGAGAGAAAAAUCAACUUUGAUAUCCCAGGAAAUAUCACAUCAGACUCACAUGUACAGCAAAGCACAGAAGGAAUAAAUUAUUUGCCAAGUACCAUUACUGACAUCUUUCCACUCAAGAUGGCAAAAACUUCACCUUUAGUUCUUCAUCUUCUGUGAGUAUGUAGCUCAUAGAAGCAAAGGUAGCCAACAUCUACUGCAAAGGAAGCAAGACUCCACCUGCAGAAUGCUGUGAGAACUCAAAUUCUGUAUCUUUCCCUCCCACUCAAACUUCUCUGCAGUCUUGCACCUCAUUCAGCCCACCUCACUGGGCCACCAGACAUUUGAAACCUAAGGAAAACCCUGAGAGUACAUUUUCUUUUAAUCAUUGUGCUGUGUGUGUGAUAGAUUAUGAGAAGGAGCAGAUUAAUGUGACUGGCAGAGACUUUAACAAAGCCAUUUUACAUAGUGACUCUCAUGCUAAAGCACAGCAACUACUGGAAAGGAAGAUUACACUGUGUCUUAAUCUCAGGCCUGCUUCUGGCAGCAGCCUAGCAGCUAAGAGCCCACGCAACGGUAUUAGCCACAGCACUGUGGAAUGGAACCAAACAGAGUCACAGCAAGUCAUCCAGAGAUAGCAGCCCCGACCAAAACAAAAGCACUAGUUAUGACCUUCAUAACUGAUGAGUUAGAGCAAAAAUUGAUUAUUCAAGAUGAUAAAGAAACUAGUUUUUUCUAAUUGUCCCAUGGGAAUGAAAAACCGUAAAGAGUCACCCAGCUCUCUGGAAAAUGUUGAAAAAGACAAAUGCCAGAUAAUACCCGUGGUGAAUAAUGCAUACCACAGAGAUUUUGAAGACCUGUCAAAUGAGAAUCGUGACAAAGUCUGUUUUCAAAUGCAUUUUUCAGCAAACACUGCUGAGUCCAACUGUGCAGUGUGUGCUUCAGAUAAUCUGUUUCUUAUUGAAAAAACACUGACCAAUGAUGUGGACCUACAUGGUAACCAAGAUAAAGAAAACCUUGGACUAACUAGUUUAAACAGGAGCCAGUACAGUGCCAAAGGAUUGCAUCAACAGGGCCAAAUACUGAAGAGGAUGAGAACAAAAAUGACUCAAAGGAAAAUUACUGUUACCAAAUACACACGUUGAUGCCACCUCAGAAGCAAGCUUUGAAAGAUUGGUAUUUGGAAAUAAAUAGUCUCCAAAAGUUAUCCCAGGAAUUGGUUCCAAGAGGUGGAAGAGCUAGUGAUGGUUCCCAGGAAGAAGCAAUUGACCAGUGGGCCAGAAGGAGGCAGCAAUACAAAGAAGGCAAAAAACCCGGUUCAGCAGCAGGGAGCUUAUUUGCCAGCAAUAUCACAGAAGAAUCCAGUG